CUGGAAGGGGACGAGGGAUGGAGGUGACAGCUCCUGUAACUUGAGCAGCCCCUUGCUUUGAGGGGAGGAGGAAAAGGCCACAACAGCAAAGAUGAUAGAACAUCUGGAAUGGCUAACCCUGGCUAAUCCUGACAGUCAAAGAUGAAAGUGAAAAUGUUGGACUGCACCUUAAUAUCAAGAAAACAAAGAUAAAGACAACUGCAGAGAGAACACAGGUCAGAGUGCAGCUGGACAAUGAGAAAUAGUAAAGGACUUCAUCUUCCUAGGCUCUAAAACUGAUCAACGUGGUGAUUGCAUCCAUGAGAUCAGAAGGUGUAAGACAGUUGGAAGAAUUGCAAUGUCUGCAUGAAUAACAUCUGGAAGAGUAAAGAUAAAGAACAAGUGCAUUA
Long non-coding RNA from Pantherophis guttatus, 389 nucleotides. RefSeq lists it as uncharacterized. The record is from RefSeq and is a predicted model, not a curated record. NCBI's taxonomy places the organism in Eukaryota, Metazoa, Chordata, Lepidosauria, Squamata, Colubridae.